Molecule: ribosomal RNA, 244 nt
Filed under: uncultured bacterium
Lineage: Bacteria
Description: partial 16S ribosomal RNA
Rfam family: Bacterial small subunit ribosomal RNA
Source: RNAcentral
GCAAGUCGAACGGUAGCAGGUACUUCGGUAUGCUGACGAGUGGCGGACGGGUGAGUAACGCGUAGGAAUCUGCCUAUCUGUGGGGGAUACCGUUUGGAAACGAACGUUAAUACCGCAUAAUGUCUACGGACUAAAGGUGGCACUUCGGUGCUGUCGCGGAUGGAUGAGCCUGCGUUAGAUUAGCUAGUUGGUGAGGUAAUGGCUCACCAAGGCGACGAUCUAUAGCUGGUUUGAGAGGAUGAUC